RNAcentral lists this ribosomal RNA (350 nucleotides) under uncultured bacterium. RNAcentral's name for it is "bacterial SSU rRNA". It matches the Rfam family "Bacterial small subunit ribosomal RNA", at positions 917 to 1267 of the family's 1533-position model. The record is from RNAcentral.
GGACCCGCACAAGCGGUGGAGCAUGUGGUUUAAUUCGAUGCAACGCGAAAAACCUUACCUACUCUUGACAUCCAGAGAAGCCAGCGGAGACGCAGGUGUGCCUUCGGGAGCUCUGAGACAGGUGCUGCAUGGUUGUCGUCAGCUCGUGCCGUGAGUGUCAGGUUAAGUCCAGUAACGAGCGCAACCCUUAUCCUUGUUUGCCAGCGAGUAAUGUCGGGAACUCCAGGGAGACUGCCGGUGAUAAACCGGAGGAAGGUGGGGACGACGUCAAGUCAUCAUGGCCCUUACGAGUAGGGCUACACACGUGCUACAAUGGCGCAUACAGAGGGCAGCAAGCUAGCGAUAGUGAG